GACGAACGCUGGCGGCGUGCUUAACACAUGCAAGUCGAACGGAAAGGCCCUGCUUUUGUGGGGUGCUCGAGUGGCGAACGGGUGAGUAACACGUGAGUAACCUGCCCUUGACUUUGGGAUAACUUCAGGAAACUGGGGCUAAUACCGGAUAGGAGCUCCUGCUGCAUGGUGGGGGUUGGAAAGUUUCGGCGGUUGGGGAUGGACUCGCGGCUUACCAGCUUGUUGGUGGGGUAGUGGCUUACCAAGGCUUUGAGGGGUAGCCGGCCUGGAAGGGGGACGGGCUCCGUUGGGGGGAGGCGACGGCGCAGUGUACGAGGGGGGGGGGGAAGGGGGAAAGUUACGCGAAGGGGGAGGUCUCGCCUGCGAAACGCCGGGUGGGGGGUGUCGCCUUUCGGGUUGAAACCCCUUUUGGCGUUUGGCAAGACGGCGGACGGGUUAGUGAGUAAAAAAACACCGGCUAAUUCCGG
This 467-nucleotide ribosomal RNA is filed under the name uncultured bacterium. RNAcentral's name for it is "partial 16S ribosomal RNA". It matches the Rfam family "Bacterial small subunit ribosomal RNA", at positions 28 to 506 of the family's 1533-position model. The record is from RNAcentral.